ACUCCUACGGGAGGCAGCAGUGGGGAAUAUUGGACAAUGGGCGAAAGCCUGAUCCAGCCAUGCCGCGUGAGUGAUGAAGGCCCUAGGGUUGUAAAGCUCUUUCAGUGGGGAAGAUAAUGACGGUACCCACAGAAGAAGCCCCGGCUAACUUCGUGCCAGCAGCCGCGGUAAU
Molecule: ribosomal RNA, 172 nt
Filed under: uncultured bacterium
Lineage: Bacteria
Description: partial 16S ribosomal RNA
Rfam family: Bacterial small subunit ribosomal RNA
Source: RNAcentral